RNAcentral lists this ribosomal RNA (873 nucleotides) under uncultured bacterium. Its description in RNAcentral is "bacterial SSU rRNA". It matches the Rfam family "Bacterial small subunit ribosomal RNA", at positions 12 to 877 of the family's 1533-position model. The record is from RNAcentral.
UUUGAUCCUGGCUCAGAACGAACGCUGGCGGCGUGGAUAAGACAUNCAAGUCGAACGGAGUAUUUUUGAAGCUUGCUUUGAAGAUGCUUAGUGGCGAACGGGUGAGUAACACGUGAGUUACCUGCCCCGAAGCGGGGGAUAGCCCGAAGAAAUUCGGAUUAAUACCCCAUGUGAUCGAAAGAUUAAAGGCGGCGCAAGCUGUCGCUUCGGGAUGGGCUCGCGGCCUAUCAGCUUGUUGGUGAGGUAAUGGCUCACCAAGGCGAUGACGGGUAGCUGAUCUGAGAGGAUGAUCAGUCACACUGGAACUGAGACACGGUCCAGACACCUACGGGUGGCAGCAGUCGAGAAUCAUUCGCAAUGGGCGAAAGCCUGACGGUGCGACGCCGCGUGGAGGAUGAAGGCCCUAGGGUCGUAAACUCCUGUCAUCAGGGAGUAAUGGCUCAUAUAGUAACUGAUAUGGGUUUUGAUAGUACCUGAAGAGGAAGGGACGGCAAACUUCGUGCCAGCAGCCGCGGUAAUACGAAGGUCCCAAGCGUUGUUCGGAUUUACUGGGCGUAAAGAGUCUGUAGGCGGUGGGGUAAGUCAGAUGUGAAAUCCCGGGGCUCAACCCCGGAACUGCAUCCGAUACUGCCUUACUUGAGGGUUGGAGGGGAGUCUGGAAUUCUCGGUGUAGCAGUGAAAUGCGUAGAUAUCGAGAGGAACACUAGUGGCGAAGGCGAGACUCUGGACAACACCUGACGCUGAGAGACGAAGGCCAGGGGAGCGAAAAGGAUUAGAUACCCUUGUAGUCCUGGCAGUAAANCGGUGCACGCUUGGUGUGGGAGGGUUCGACCCCUUCCGUGCCGGAGCUAACCGCGUAAGCUGCCGCCUGGA